UACGUAGGGGGCUAGCGUUAUCCGGAAUUACUGGGCGUAAAGGGCGCGCAGGCGGUCUUCUAAGUCUGAUGUGAAAGCCCACGGCUUAACCGUGGAGGGUCAUUGGAAACUGGAGGACUUGAGUACAGAAGAGGAGAGUGGAAUUCCACGUGGAGCGGUGAAAUGCGUAGAGAUGUGGAGGAACACCAGUGGCGAAGGCGACUCUCUGGUCUGUAACUGACGCUGAGGUGCGAAAGCGUGGGUAGCGGAACAGGAUUAGGAUACCCGCGUAGU
This 273-nucleotide ribosomal RNA is filed under the name uncultured prokaryote. Its description in RNAcentral is "partial 16S ribosomal RNA". It matches the Rfam family "Bacterial small subunit ribosomal RNA", at positions 524 to 794 of the family's 1533-position model. The record is from RNAcentral.